GUUAUUGUUUAUUUGAUACAUCAAAUGGAUAACUGUAGAAAAACUAGAGCUAAUACAUGCUAAGGCCGCAAGGUUGUAUUUAUUAGAUAUUCCGAUAAGGUGAAUCAUAAUAACUUCGCAAAUCUCAUAUUUGUUGAGAUAAAUCAUCCAAGUUUCUGCCCUAUCAUGCUUUCGUUGGUAGUGUAUUGGACUACCAUGGCUCUCACGGGUAACAGGGAAUUAGGGUUCGAUUCUGGAGAAGGAGCCUGAGAAACGGCUACUACAUCUACGGAAGGCAGCAGGCGCGUAAAUUACCCAAUCCUGACUCAGGGAGGUGGUGACAAGAUAUAACAACGAGACUAUAAAUCUCGAUUGUAGUGAGGGUAUUCUAAAUAGAACCUAUAGUACGAUUAGAGGGCAAGUCUGGUGCCAGCAGCCGCGGUAAUUCCAGCUCUAAUAGCGUAUAUUAAAGUUGCUGCAGUUAAAAAGCUCGUAGUUGGAUUUCAAGGAUUGUAUUCUCUUAUGGGUUUACUUCCUACUAGUCAUCUGACUGUUACUGUGAGAAAAUUAGAGUGUUUCAAGCAGGCUUUCGCAAGAAUACAUUAGCAUGGAAUAACGAAUGUAUUUAGAAUCGUGGUUUAAUUCUAAAUUACGAUUAAUAGAGACAGUUGGGGGCAUUAGUAUUUAAUUGUCAGAGGUGAAAUUCUUGGAUUUGUUAAAGACUAACGUAUGCGAAAGCAU
Molecule: ribosomal RNA, 720 nt
Filed under: Entodinium sp.
Lineage: Eukaryota; Ciliophora; Litostomatea; Entodiniomorphida; Ophryoscolecidae
Description: SSU rRNA
Rfam family: Eukaryotic small subunit ribosomal RNA
Source: RNAcentral